This is a long non-coding RNA of Symphalangus syndactylus (siamang), 1501 nucleotides long. RefSeq lists it as uncharacterized. The record is from RefSeq and is a predicted model, not a curated record. NCBI's taxonomy places the organism in Eukaryota, Metazoa, Chordata, Mammalia, Primates, Hylobatidae.
UUUCAUGAUAAAGAAUUAAGUUAAAUUUUAGAAAAUGAGAAAAUCUAAGAAAGAAGGGAAAAAACAUUCGCGCUGUUAUGCAACCAUCAUCAGGAUCCAUCUCGCAGAUUGAAACUCUGUAUCCAUUAAACAAAAGUUCCCACAGGCUUCACUCUAGGUGUACAUUCUGCAGGUUUGGACACAUGCAUAAUAACUUGUAGCCACCAUUACGGUAUCAUACAGAGUAGUUUCACUGCCUUAAAAAUCUUCCUAGUCAUUCCUCCUUCCUCCUGCCCAAACCUCUGGCAACCUGAUCUUUUUUUUUUUUUUUUUUUUUUUUUGAGACAGAGUCUUGCUCUGUCACCCAGGCUGGAGUGUAGUGAGGGGAUCUCGGCUGACUGCAACUUCCGCCUCCUGGGUUCAAGCAAUUCUCUUGUCUCAGCCUCCCGAGUAGCUGGGAUUACAGGUGCCCGCCACUUACGCCUGGCUAAUUUUUUGUAUUUUUAGUAAAGACGGGGUUUGGCCAUGUUGGCCAGGCUGGUCUAAAACUCCUGACCUCAGGUGAUCCACUCGCCUCGGCCUCCCAAGCAACCUGAUCUUUUCACUGUCUCUAUAGCUUCGCCCUUUCCAGAAUGUCAUAUAGUUGGAAUCAUACAAUAUGCAGCCUGCUCAGGCUGGCUUCUUUCACUUAGCAAUAUGCACUUAAGGCUCCUUCAUGUUGUUUCAUGGCUUGAUGGGUACAUUUCUGAUAAGGUUUGGCUGUGUCUCCGCACAAAUCUCACCUUGAAUUGUAAUAGAGCCCACCUGCCAAGGGUGGGGCCAGGUGGAGAUAAUUGAAUCAUGGGGCUGGGUUUUUCCCAUGCUGUUCUCGGGGUAGUGAGUAAGUCUCAUGAGAUCCGAAGGCUUUAUAAACGGGACUUCCUCUGCACAAGCUCUUUCUCCCACCACCAUGCAAGACAUCGUUUUGCUCUUCCUUCAUCUUCUGCCGUGAUUGUGAGGCCUCCUCAGCCAUGUGGAACUAUCGCCGAUUAGAAGUAUGAAGUUUGGGGCCAGGCGCGGUGGCUCAUGCCUGUAAUCCCAGGACUUCAGGAAGCAGAGGACAGCACAUUUACCUGAGGUCAGGAGUUUGAGACAAGCCUGGACAACAUGGCAAAACCCCAUCUCUACUAAAAAUAUACAAAAAUUAGCCGGGCAUGGUGGCAGACACCUGUAAUCCCAGCUACUUAGGAGGCUGAGGCAGGGAGAAUUGCUUGAACCUGGGAGGCAGUGGUUGUGGUGAGCUGAGAUCGUGCCCCUGCACUCCAGACUGGGCAACAGAACAAGACUCCGUCCCCCGCCCACCAAAAAAAGAAGUAUACAUAUUAAUCGAAGACCCAUUACUACUAUUUCCAGAGGCGGAGUUCAUCUGCUGUUCGAGGCGCUCCAGUUGAAAGACCAGGGAGUUCUUUUCUGUGCUGAGACUCUCCAGCAUGGUCUGUUUCUGGAUGAGAGUCUCUGUUAGCUGAUGGAGUCGAUUUUCUAA